AGCGAACGCUGGCGGCAGGCUUAACACAUGCAAGUCGAGCGCCGUAGCAAUACGGAGCGGCAGACGGGUGAGUAACACGUGGGAACGUGCCUUCUGGUUCGGAAUAACUCAGGGAAACUUGAGCUAAUACCGGAUAAGCCCUUCGGGGGAAAGAUUUAUCGCCGGAAGAUCGGCCCGCGUAAGAUUAGCUAGUUGGUGAGGUAAUGGCUCACCAAGGCGACGAUCCGUAACUGGUCUGAGAGGAUGAUCAGUCACACUGGAACUGAGACACGGUCCAGACUCCUACGGGAGGCAGCAGUGGGGAAUAUUGGACAAUGGGCGCAAGCCUGAUCCAGCCAUGCCGCGUGAGUGAUGAAGGCCUUAGGGUUGUAAAGCUCUUUUAGCAGGGACGAUAAUGACGGUACCUGCAGAAAAAGCCCCGGCCAACUUCGUGCCAGCAGCCGCUGUAA
RNAcentral lists this ribosomal RNA (449 nucleotides) under uncultured bacterium. RNAcentral describes it as "partial 16S ribosomal RNA". It matches the Rfam family "Bacterial small subunit ribosomal RNA", at positions 29 to 523 of the family's 1533-position model. The record is from RNAcentral.